AAACUUAAAUGAAUUGACGGGGACCCGCACAAGCAGCGGAGCGUGUGGUUUAAUUCGUUGCUACACGAAGAACCUUACCUGGGUUUGACAUAUAGGUUGUAGGGAACUGAAAGGGACCGACCCUUCGGGGAGCCUAUACAGGUGUUGCAUGGCUGUCGUCAGCUCGUGUCGUGAGAUGUUCGGUUAAGUCCGCUAACGAGCGCAACCCUCGUCGUAUGUUAUAUGUGUCAUACGAGACUGCCGGUAAAAGCCGGAGGAAGGUGAGGAUGAUGUCAAGUCAGCAUGACCUUUAUAUCCAGGGCUACACACACGCUACAAUGGUCUGUACAAUGGGUAGCCAAGCCGCGAGGCGGAGCCAAUCCUGAAAGCAGGCCUCAGUUCAGAUUGCAGUCUGCAACUCGACUGCAUGAAGCCGGAGUUGCUAGUAACCGCAGGUCAGCAAUACUGCGGUGAAUACGUUCCCGGGUCUU
Molecule: ribosomal RNA, 470 nt
Filed under: uncultured Anaerolineaceae bacterium
Lineage: Bacteria; Bacillati; Chloroflexota; Anaerolineae; Anaerolineales; Anaerolineaceae
Description: bacterial SSU rRNA
Rfam family: Bacterial small subunit ribosomal RNA
Source: RNAcentral